RNAcentral lists this ribosomal RNA (428 nucleotides) under Verrucomicrobiota bacterium. Its description in RNAcentral is "Verrucomicrobia bacterium partial 16S ribosomal RNA". It matches the Rfam family "Bacterial small subunit ribosomal RNA", at positions 355 to 776 of the family's 1533-position model. Lineage: Bacteria; Pseudomonadati; Verrucomicrobiota. The record is from RNAcentral.
UAGGGAAUAUUCCACAAUGAGCGAAAGCUUGAUGGAGCGACACAGCGUGCACGAUGAAGGUCUUCGGAUUGUAAAGUGCUGUUAUAAGGGAAGAACAUUUGCAAUAGGAAAUGAUUGCAGACUGACGGUACCUUGUCAGAUAGCGAUGGCUAACUAUGUGCCAGCAGCCGCGGUAAUACAUAGGUCGCAAGCGUUAUCCGGAAUUAUUGGGCGUAAAGCGUUCGUAGGCUGUUUGUUAAGUCUGGAGUUAAAUCCCGGGGCUCAACCCCGGCUCGCUUUGGAUACUAGCAAACUAGAGUUAGAUAGAGGUAAGCGGAAUUCCAUGUGAAGCGGUGAAAUGCGUAGAUAUAUGGAAGAACACCAAAGGCGAAGGCGGCUUACUGGGUCUAUACUGACGCUGAGGGACGAAAGCGUGGGGAGCAAACAGG